This 492-nucleotide ribosomal RNA is filed under the name uncultured bacterium. RNAcentral describes it as "partial 16S ribosomal RNA". It matches the Rfam family "Bacterial small subunit ribosomal RNA", at positions 29 to 507 of the family's 1533-position model. The record is from RNAcentral.
AGUGAACGCUGGCGGUGGGCUUAACACAUGCAAGUCGAACGGAACCACAGUACGAGCUUGCUCUUCCGGGUGGCGAUUGGCGGACGGGUCAGGAAAACAUCGGAACCUCCUUUUUCGUGGGGCUUAAGGAAGGGAAGCUUACGCUAAUACCGCAUCCGCCCUCCGGGGGAAGGAAGGGGACCUUCGGACCUUGCGCGAUUGAAUGAGCCGCUUUCGGAUUGGCUGGUUGGCGGGGUAAAGGCCCACCAAGGCGGAGAUCCGUGGCUGGUGUGAGAGGGUGUUCAGCCACCCUGGAACUGAGACACGGUCCAGACUCCUACGGGAGGGAGCAGUGGGGAAUAUUGGACAAUGGGCGGAAGCCUGAUCCAGUCAUACCGCGUGGGUGAAAAAGGCCUUCGGGUUGGAAAGCCCUUUUGUUGGGGAAGAAAAGCAGCAGGUUAAUACCCCGCUGUUCUGACGGUACCCAAAGAAUAAGCACCGGCUAACUUCGUG